CGAGAUCACAGGGUGGAACCUUAACUGGAUACGGCUGGUGCACUUAUAAGAAGAGGAAGAGACCCCAGAGCUCUCUUUCUCUGCCUUGUGAUGACAUAGUGAGAAGGCAGCUGUCUACAAACCAGGAUAAGAGCUCUCGCCAGGAACAAAAUUGGUAGGCGCCUUGAUCUUGGACCUCUCAGCCUCCAGAACUGAAUUUGAACUUGAAUAUAUUUGGCAAGUUUGUACUAUUUAACUCAAGGACUCUGACUUCACUGAUUCUGUUAUAAUUAACUCAACGAGCAUACAAUAUUGUUUAAAUUCUCUUAGAAUUAGGUAAUCAUCUAUUUUCCUCCUGGCACAGGUUGUGCAAGUGAAAAUAGUGAAGACUAUAGUAGAAUCAUUUUAAUAACACAAUGCAGAAUCUCUAAUUUUUCAUCUACACAAAUGGUCUGUAGAUCUUUUUAAUAUACUUUGCAUUUAUAUAGCAUUUCUUGUUCCCAAGUAUUUUAAUUUAUACAUUACUCUGACAGUUACUACAUGCCUACUAUACAUCAUGAACUAUGUUGGCACUGGGGAAAAAAAUGAUGAACAAAAAUCAUGAGAGAGACGUAUAAUUAAAUUUUUAAAAAUUACAGCCAACAUUUACAUAGUGCUUACUAGGCUCCAGGCACUGUUCUAAGUGUUGUAUAUACACUAAAUCAUUUAAGACUCACAACAACCCUUAAAGGUAGGUUCUAUUACUAUCCCCAUUUUAAAGAUGAGGAAACUGAAGCACCCAGAUUCCAAGCCAAGCAGUCUUGGCCCCAAAACCUCUGCUCUUAGCCACUCAACUGUACUCCACUGCCUCUCCAAUCACACAAGUAAAUGUAAAACUGCUACUGUGCUAUGCGUAAGAAGGAGAUGUACAAAAGCCAUUAAAGUCUGCUUGAGUUGAGAUCUGAAAGAUGAGUUAAGUAGGUAGAAAAGGGUGAAGGCAGAGGGAACAAGUAAAAAAGCCCUGUUGUGGAGCACGGUGAGGACAAAGGACCGAACCAUGGCUAGUUGACUCCAGCAGGAAUGCAAGAGGGAUGAUGAUGCAGGAU
Molecule: long non-coding RNA, 1064 nt
Filed under: Equus caballus (horse)
Lineage: Eukaryota; Metazoa; Chordata; Mammalia; Perissodactyla; Equidae
Description: lncRNA (ENSECAG00000060234.1)
Source: RNAcentral